This 253-nucleotide ribosomal RNA is filed under the name uncultured bacterium. RNAcentral's name for it is "partial 16S ribosomal RNA". It matches the Rfam family "Bacterial small subunit ribosomal RNA", at positions 524 to 776 of the family's 1533-position model. The record is from RNAcentral.
UACGAGGGGGGCGAGCGUUGUUCGGAAUUAUUGGGCGUAAAGGGUGCGUAGGCGGUUUGGUAAGUCUUUUGUGAAAUCUCUGGGCUCAACUCAGAGUCUGCAAGGGAAACUGCCGGGCUGGAGUGUGGGAGAGGUGAGUGGAAUUUCCGGUGUAGCGGUGAAAUGCGUAGAUAUCGGAAGGAACACCUGUGGCGAAAGCGGCUCACUGGACCACAACUGACGCUGAUGCACGAAAGCUAGGGGAGCAAACAGG